This 459-nucleotide ribosomal RNA is filed under the name uncultured bacterium. Its description in RNAcentral is "partial 16S ribosomal RNA". It matches the Rfam family "Bacterial small subunit ribosomal RNA", at positions 338 to 795 of the family's 1533-position model. The record is from RNAcentral.
CCUACGGGUGGCAGCAGUGAGGAAUAUUGGUCAAUGGUCGCGAGACUGAACCAGCCAAGCCGCGUGAGGGAUGACGGUACAGAGUAUCGUAAACCUCUUUUGUCAGGGAACAAAGGCGGGGACGUGUCCCCGGAUGAGUGUACCCGAAGAAAAAGCAUCGGCUAACUUCGUGCGAGCAGCCGCGGGAAUACGGAGGAUGCGAGCGUUUUCCGGAUUUAUGGGGUUUAAGGGGGGGUCAGGCGGUCUGUUAAGUCAGCGGUAAAAGCCUGGGGCUCAACCCCGGCCCGCCGGUGAAACUGGCAGUCUCGAGUGGGAGAGAAGUAGGCGGAAUGCGCGGUGUAGCGGUGAAAUGCAUAGAUAUCACGCAGAACUCCGAUUGCGAAGGCAGCAUGCCGGCUCCACACUGACGCUGAGGCACGAAAGCGUGGGUAUCGAACAGGAUUAGAUACCCUAGUAGUC